RNAcentral lists this long non-coding RNA (231 nucleotides) under Elaeis guineensis (African oil palm). RNAcentral's name for it is "long non-coding RNA (EGUI_LNC019726)". The record is from RNAcentral. Lineage: Eukaryota; Viridiplantae; Streptophyta; Magnoliopsida; Arecales; Arecaceae.
AUUUGAGUUACAGUAUGAGUGAUGGCCCUAGAGGAAGCUGUGCAGUGUUCGUUUCUGAGCAUCUUGUUAAAGUAAUACCUCCAUCACCCUGCCUAAUUGUUGAAAUAUUUUUCUUUAACGUUUAUGAGCAAAAAAAGCUAUGCAAAAACUACCUCCUGUGGCCUAAGUUUUCAAUUGCUAUGCAUUCUUUGUGCACUUAAAUCAGAUGAGUCUAGUGAUGCUUCAUUCGAG